AGCAGUCGCCGCGGUAAAACGGAGGGGGCUAGCGUUGUUCGGAAUUACUGGGCGUAAAGCGCACGUAGGCGGCUUGGUAAGUUAGAGGUGAAAGCCUGGAGCUCAACUCCAGAAUUGCCUUUAAGACUGCCGAGCUAGCAGGUGAGAGAGGUAAGUGGAAUUCCGAGUGUAGAGGUGAAAUUCGUAGAUAUUCGGAAGAACACCAGUGGCGAAGGCGGCUUACUGGCUCAUACUGGACGCUGAGGUGCGAAAGCGUGGGGAGCAAACAGGAUUAGAUACCCGUGUAGUCCCUGUCUCUUAACA
RNAcentral lists this ribosomal RNA (303 nucleotides) under uncultured bacterium. Its description in RNAcentral is "partial 16S ribosomal RNA". It matches the Rfam family "Bacterial small subunit ribosomal RNA", at positions 507 to 808 of the family's 1533-position model. The record is from RNAcentral.